AGAUUCAAGACCUCUAUAUAUCCCAUCCCAUAAAUCUUUUAAUCAAUUAAAAUCAACCCAUUUUCUCUACCAAACCCAUUAUCAUACCACUCAUCCCCAUUACCUUAAAUAAAUAUAUCACAUCACCCCAUUAUAUUUUGUCCCCCAUGCCCAACAUAAACAAAUACAAGAUUCCCCCACACUAAAAUUUGUCUUGUCCCCCCUUUAUAUUAAACAACUAUAUCACAACCCACCCCAUUACAUUUUGUCCCCCAUGCUUAACAUAAAGAAUCAAAAUAAUGUUCAAUUACCAAACUACCCCUCCGACCUUAUUGCAAUUACCAUUCUACCCCUGAAUGCAAUGCAAUUUACCAAAUUACCCCCAUCAGCUCUAAACACUCAAUUAAUCAUAACUUUAACCAAAAUAUAGCCCAUAUGACCAAUUUCUACACAAAUUCAAACAACAAAUCACAUGAACAUGAUUUCUUCAACAUUUCAACAACAAAUCACAUGAACACAAAUUGAACAACAAAGAACAACUAAAAUUUGAUUGAACAAUAUUUUAGCAACAAACAAUCCUAUUUUCGGAUUCAACAACAACAACAAACAAGUAUAUUUAGAUUUCUAAAUUCAAUAAUAUUGAACUUAAAAUCAACUCUAACAAUAUUACAACCAACAAUUCCUAUAUUAAACUUAAACAAGAUUAUGAAACAAAUUCAAGAAAUAAUCAUAAAUGAUAAACAAGAAAUCAAAACUAUACAAAUUUCGGAUUCAAGAACAACUAAACAAAGUAUGGACAUAAAUUAAAUUUAUUUUGAACAAAAAUAACAUGACGGAUUCAAAUGAUUAAACCAACAUACUUCCCUAUCACAACUAAAUUCUUUUAGGCAAAUAACAAAACAAAACCUAAGAAGAAACAAUUAUGAAUUUAAACUUGAACUUAACAAUAUUAACCAUUUCUGGAAAAUACAUAAAAUACAUAAAACAAAUUGAGGAAACAAUUAAUUAAACUUCAAUUUGUAUCUAACUAACAUUAAACUAACAACAUUUACCUAAACAAUAAAACAAACAUGAAAUAAACAUGAAAAAUUCACCAAAUAAUGAACAACACAAACAUUUGCCGAUUUUAGAUUCGAGAAUAUCAAAACGAAAUACAGACAAAAUAAAACUCAAAAUCUACUAACCGGAUCGAACGAACUAUGUACGGACUGUUUUGACGAACCUCGAAUGGGAAUAAAUCUGUCCGGACUCAACGACGAGCUCACCUCCCUUUUAAACUUGAUGAACUCAAAACGACGCUCGACGACCUCGACUAAAACUCGAAUAAACGAAAUGGUGGCAGCAACAUAGAUGAAACAAAAUAAACUGCUCGUCGUGGAAGCAACGCAGCAAAACAAAGUGGGUUUGGACGUAACGAAGCAGGAGCGUCUGUACGUAGCGAAGCAGGAGGAGGGCGCUAUGGUUUCUGCAACUUCACUGUAACAGGAAAGGGAACAGGUAAUCUCGGUAAGAGGAGGAAUGAGACUCACACACUAUGUGUGAGGUGAGAGAAGGCACUCCGCAAUGUUCCUCGCAUAUUCAAGACUGGUUUCAGAGAAGGGACUGAAGCAGCACCAAGGAAGAAGACAGCAGCAGCCAUGUGCGAUGGAGGUCGAAGCUAAGGCGGCAGCUACCAUGGGUGUCGAGCUUCAAGCUCGACGCCGGAGAAUACGAAACAUUAGCCAUGGGGUCUGUUUGGAUGUAGCAAAGCUGCUGGGCAGCGACUGAAGAAGAUGAAGC
Molecule: long non-coding RNA, 1758 nt
Filed under: Nicotiana tabacum (common tobacco)
Lineage: Eukaryota; Viridiplantae; Streptophyta; Magnoliopsida; Solanales; Solanaceae
Description: long non-coding RNA (NTAB_LNC016414)
Source: RNAcentral